UGCAUGGCGAGGCGCGGCGGGGCUCGCUGCCGUCAGGUCGCUGCGGGAGCGGAGGCGAAGCGGCGGCUCCUCCUGCCGAGCCACACCAUCUUGUAAACUGUUGUGAGAAGACAAACCUUUCUCAUGCCCCAAGAGAGGGAGUGAACUGUACAUCCUGUUGGCAACAUAUAGAAGUGAUCUAUUUCUGUUCUGGAGAAGUGAUUCCCUUGCAGCCCAUUGUGAAAACCAUGGUGAGGCAGGCUCCACAGAGCCACAGACCUCCACAGAGGUCCACAGUGGAGCAAAUACCCACCAUGGAGCAGAAAUCCCAUAGAGGAACUCACAACAGAGCAGGGGAAUGCCUGAAGGAGGCUGUGACCCCUUGGGAAGCCCAUGCUGGAACAUGCUCCUGGCAGGACCUGUGGCCUCAUGGAGAGAGGAAUCCAUGCUGGAGCAGGUUUGCUGACCCUGUAGGGGAACCAUGCUGGGACAAUCUGUCCCUGGAAGGGACCACACAGAAGCAGUUUGUGAAGAACUGCAGCCUCUGGGGAGGAGCCAUGUUGGAGAAGUUCAUGAAGGACUGUCUCCUGUGGGAGGGACUCCACGCUGGGCAGGGGAAGAUUGUGAGGAGUCCUUCCUCUGAGGAGGAAGGACUGGCAGAAGCAUUUGAUGAACUGACCACAACCCCCAUUGCCCAUCCCCCUGCACUGCUGGAGGUGAGGAGGUACAGAAUUUGAGAGUAGAGGUGAGCCUGGGAAAAAAGAGAAGUGGAAGGAAGGUGGUUUUUAGAUUUGUUCCUAUUUCUUGUUGUACUCCUCUGAUUUGAUUGGCAAUAAAUUAAAUUCAUUUCCCUGGGCGGAAUCUGUUUUUCCCAUGACCAGUAAUUGCUGAGUGAUCUCCCUAGUCCUUAUCUUGACCCAGGAGCCUUUAGUUUUAUUUUCUCUCCCCUGCCCAGGUGAGGAGGGGAGUGAUAGAAAGACUUCUGUGGGCAUCUGGUGUCCAGCCAGAUUCAGCCCACCUCGGUCAGUAAGAAGACAUUUGGUAAGUGCAAUCUUUGGGCAUGUGACAAGACAGCAUUUGUAAUGUUAUCCAAAGAAUCUGUAGUGAUUUAAAAUCCUAUUGUAGUUUCUGUAUCACUAGUUUCAUUAUUUGAUUAAAGUCCAGCAGAGCAUUAAGGAUUACAUUUGACUGAGCAUGAAUGAUUUACAAUUAGUUAGAAAAAAUAAAGGUAUUAAGGAAUGUGCCAGGUUAAUUUAUUUGACAAAUGAGUGCAAAGCUACUUACACAAACAUUUCAAAACAGAGAAGCACCUGGUUCAUAAUGUAUUUUGUAGAAGCAAUGAAAAAAGUAAUUAUAGAGAAUUGUAAAAACAUUGCCAGGAGGUAUAGCUAAGAUCGCUAGGAAUGCAGGGGCUGACUUCCACUGCACUUCACAGUUGUGCUGGGUCCUUCCAUGCAUGACCCACUGGGUGACAAUCAGUAAGCUGAGGAAUCCACAGGUAGGGAAGAUAUAAGCUAUACUUGGCAGUUAGGGCAUGGUUUGGUAUCCAGCCUGGGGUUUGUACGAGGGGAUAAUUGUAAUUCAUUUGUAUUACAGUAUCUGCUAAUGCCAAGCUUUUAGUAUUUUUCCAGUUUAAUGUCAAUAAUACUACAGUAAUGUUGAUAUCUAGCUUUUUAAAACACUACCCGUUUUUAAUUUGUUUAUGUUGGCGACAUUUGUUAUUUUACAGUAGUAUAGGAAACAUCUAGUGGUGACUGAUGUAAGCCACUUCCUGUCUGUUUUUACUUGAUCAUGAUAUUUCUUUGUCAACAGGAUCAACAGCAUAAUGUGCAGCAUUUCAAAUGUAAAAAAAUAAACUUUUCCAAAAAGCCCAACUAUGCAGAUUUAUCUCUGUGGGUAUUGCUGGGUUAGGUUGUCACAUUCAAGUAUUAUAAAGCGUCCGUAUGUUCCAUAUCAAUCACUUCAUAUAGAUAUUGUGUUCCACAUAUUUUUACAGUCCUAAGUAUUUUAGUUAAACUUCUAAACUUUGAAGAAAAGCUAUGCUGGUCAUCUGGCCAUACUGAAGUGGGAAGACAAAGAGGUAAUAACCCUUACAGCUGAUAAUAUUCAAUCAUUUCUAGCUUCCAUUAAGGACAACGUCCUUUCUUUUGUUCACUUCUUCAGCAUAGAGGCUAUUGCCUCUGUAGCUGGGAUUUUUUCCAAAUAUCUUCUUAGCAGGUGAGGACAGGCAGAUUAUAGGAAAGGCAGUACAAAUGGAAAGUAUAUCAAUGCUCAUCUGACAAAUAAACAAACCAUGAUUUUACCAUGGAAACUGCACAGGCUAUCUCUUCACUUCUGCUAGUCUCAGUCAGUGAGGCUCUCUGCAGUCAUAGGAUCUGAAUCCCUGCUUCUCUCUGCAGACCUUGGGGCUCGAAGAUGGUAUUCUUUAUGCUCCCUAAAGAAGGUGUGCUUCACUUUGCGGUCCUUGACUCUACCGGAAACUGCGUUUUCCACAAGGAGCAGAAACACCUCUUUUGUUAAAAGAGCAGUGCCCUGCUAAGAACGUGUCUAGAGACUGGCCACAUAUCUUCCCCUGAGAGAUGUGUAUUUAUUUUUCUCCCUAAUCUUUGCUUUAUAAUUCUCAUUAUUAAAAAAGAUAAAAUGAUCGAGGACUUCAUCUAAUCAAAGGCUCAUCAUCAAAAGCAGACAUGAAUUGAGGGAGGCCAAGGACCUGCAGUCUGACUCUACCCUCCUACAUAAAGCUUUUGUCUAAACUUGCAAAAGCUCCCCAUUGCACCAGAAAAGGGCACGGGGUAGUUUCUGGCCUCUCCCAGAACUACUUCUGUCUGUACCCGGGAGUGGUCAGGGGAAGUCUGAGAGUUUAGCAAUGAGUCAUUCUCCUACCUGGGACUUCUGAGUCCAGUCAAACCUACAGGUUUCAGUGCUCCUAAAAUGCAGUUGUAGAUACUAUUUUGAAUGGCUAAUACUCCCCAUCCACUUAAUAUCCUAGGGGUUACAAUAGCUACCAAGUAAUUUGGAGCCUUGUGCUUGCCUCCCUUCUCAGCCUGAUGUGGCUUGAUGUCUUCAUGGUGUCUUUCAUAUCUUCCAUAUCUCACAGGAGCGCUUGACCAGCUGGGCUAAAGUUACUGAAACUGCACAGCAAAUAGGAACAGAGAAGCUGUUCAACACUGAGGUGGUAUUUUCAUAGAACUAUCUAUUUAUAUGGCAUGAUUUCAGACUGCAAUGAUAAUCAUUACUCUGAGUGCACUGUUGGGAACUAGGCGAACUACCAUCAGACUUUCGUGAUGCAGUCAUCAUCACCUUGUACAAGAAGAAAGGAAUUAAAUCAGACUGCUCAAAUUACCGAGGUAUUACUCUGCUCUCCAUUGCUGGCAAAAUCCUGGCAAGAAUACUUUUGGACAGACUAAUACCUGCUAUAGCAGAAGGAAUUCUACCUGAGAGCCAGUGUGGUUUCAGAGCCAACAGGAGCACCACAGACAUGGUGUUUGUUCUCAGACAACUGCAAGAGAAGUGUAGGGAACAGAACAAAGGUCUCUAUGUAACCUUUGUCGACCUCACCAAGGCUUUCAAUACUGUGAGCAGGAAAGGUCUAUGGCAGAUUUUGGAACGUUUAGGUUGUCCCCUCAAGUUCCUUAAAAUGAUCGUCUCACUCCAUGAGGAUCAGCACGGCCAAGUCAGAUAUGGCAAUGCACUUUCUGAGCCCUUUCUAAUAACCAAUGGUGUGAAACAAGGCUGCAUUCUCGCACCAACCCUAUUCACAGUCUUUUUCAGCAUGAUGCUCUGAAGGGCCACGGCAGACUUCGAUGAUCAGGAUGGUAUCUACAUUCGAUACCGUACUGAUGGAAGCCUAUUCAACCUAAGGCGACUGAAGGCCCACACU
This is a long non-coding RNA of Pseudopipra pipra, 3859 nucleotides long. RefSeq lists it as uncharacterized. The record is from RefSeq and is a predicted model, not a curated record. The transcript is spliced from 4 exons. Lineage: Eukaryota; Metazoa; Chordata; Aves; Passeriformes; Pipridae.